UACGUAGGGUGCAAGCGUUGCCCGGAUUUAUUGGGCGUAAAGGGCGCGUAGGCGGCCACGCACGUCCGUUGUGAAAUCGCCCGGCUCAACUGGGCGGGGUCGGCGGAUACGGCGUGGCUGGAGCAAGCUAGGGGGCAAUGGAAUUCCCGGUGUAGUGGUGGAAUGCGUAGAUAUCGGGAGGAACACCAGUGGCGAAGGCGGUUGCCUGGAGCUUUGCUGACGCUGAGGCGCGAAAGCGUGGGGGAGCGAUCCGG
This 254-nucleotide ribosomal RNA is filed under the name uncultured bacterium. RNAcentral's name for it is "partial 16S ribosomal RNA". It matches the Rfam family "Bacterial small subunit ribosomal RNA", at positions 524 to 776 of the family's 1533-position model. The record is from RNAcentral.